CCCGCGGACCGCGGAAGCAGGAGUGGUGAAACUGUACAAAGCUGCACCGAUCCCCUCCCUGGGGAUCCCCACCGCGAAGACCGAGGCAAGCGGCGCUCGCCCAUCUUCCUCUCUGACCGCAGCGGCCACCACCAGCAGAAGCCGGGAGAGCGGAGAGAGCGGGGUUGUUGGAGCGCCGGCUGCUGCAACCCCGCGGGGUCGCGAGGCGCCCGGGUCUCCCGAACGCGCAGCGGAAGGCGCGGAGCGGCGCCCCAACCGCACGCGCCGGCGCCCGGAGAGACCCCCGCCCCGCCCCUCCUGCCCCUCCCGCCGGGCGGGGAAGGAGCCGAGCGCCCGCGGCCCGCCGCGCUCCACGCCCCGCACCGCCCCGUGGAAAGCGUGCUCUCACCGCGUUGCCCCAGCCUGGUGUUGCGCGGGCUGCAAACGUGCGCGCGUUUUCGCUUGCUGUCGCUUGCGCCGGUCUCUCCCAAACCUCCCCCCGCCUCACCUUCACAGAGUCUACCGGGUACAUGACCGAGUGCUCCAGGAUCCCGGCCAUCGCUCCGGCUGUCAUGUGGGUGGAUACGGAGGCGCUGGUCGGCAGGUUCUCAUAGUCCUCCGAGCCGGCGUCCUUGCUGCCGCCGCCGCCAUCUCGAGUGUCCCCAUCCAUCCCCCGCCCCACCGCCUGGCUCCCUACGCCGCUGCAGCGUAGCUCCAUCCGCCAGCUCCGCGGGGAACGGGAGGCUGCAAGAGGGCUUAAGGCUUGGCUCUGUGGGAUCAGCUUCCAGACCACACCAGAACUUCCCUGCCUCAUCCAGAGAAGGCUUCGGCUCCGGAGAGCUGGGACUUGAGAUAUGAAAGGUGGUGGAACUGGUGGAAGGACAUCAUCUUGUGGAUAAGAGGAUUCUUGGCAAAUGUGAACAAUGCUCAUCAUCUUCGGGGAUGUAAGAUGCUCUCUAAUUUCAUUAAAUAAAUGUUAAGUCAGAACUAUCAGAAAAUGUCUUUGGAAUAUUAUAAGUACACAGUAUUUUUUUUCCCCAUAUAUUGUAGACAUGGUAAUUUGACACUCAGCAUCCAUCUUAAACCCCUUUUUGUAAGGCAGUGCCUUACAAUUUUAAAACAUUAAAAAAUUUUAAAAAAAUAUUUUAAAAACAUAUUUUAAAAACGUGAAACACGUCACAAUGAUGAAUUGUCCAAACACUCGCAGUUUCCACCAGAAUUUGACUUGUGGUUGGCACACUAGCUUGCUUCCUUGGAUGUCUGAGGGACCAAGAUCUCACAGAAUAGCCAAGACCUUGUUUUAACAUGGCACUAUUUAGUAUCUUACCUACGUA
Long non-coding RNA from Choloepus didactylus (southern two-toed sloth), 1313 nucleotides. RefSeq lists it as uncharacterized. Lineage: Eukaryota; Metazoa; Chordata; Mammalia; Pilosa; Megalonychidae. The record is from RefSeq and is a predicted model, not a curated record. The transcript has 3 exons.